RNAcentral lists this ribosomal RNA (253 nucleotides) under uncultured bacterium. RNAcentral describes it as "partial 16S ribosomal RNA". It matches the Rfam family "Bacterial small subunit ribosomal RNA", at positions 524 to 776 of the family's 1533-position model. The record is from RNAcentral.
UACGGGGGGGGCAAGCGUUGUUCGGAAUUACUGGGCGUAAAGGGGACGUAGGCGGCCAACUAAGUCCGACGUGAAAUCCCAAGGCUUAACCUUGGAACUGCGUCGGAUACUGGAUGGCUUGAAUUCGGGAGAGGGAUGCAGAAUUCCAGGUGUAGCGGUGAAAUGCGUAGAUAUCUGGAGGAACACCGGUGGCGAAGGCGGCAUCCUGGACCGGCAUUGACGCUGAGGAGCGAAAGCCAGGGGAGCAAACGGG